Long non-coding RNA from Microplitis demolitor, 320 nucleotides. RefSeq lists it as uncharacterized. Lineage: Eukaryota; Metazoa; Arthropoda; Insecta; Hymenoptera; Braconidae. The record is from RefSeq and is a predicted model, not a curated record. The transcript is spliced from 3 exons.
GAUCAUACUAAAUUUUUAAAUUUUUGUCCGUCAGUGGAAACUGCUGUCUGUAGUAAUAGUAGUAGUAGUAAAUUCAAAAUUAUUCUCUAUAAAAAAACGGCAAUAAAUUAAUUAAUGAUUCAAAUAUUACGAAUAUUCACUAUCAUGAAACUAAAGGCUUCUUCAUUAAAAGAAAAGUUGAAUGAUAAAGUUGAUGGUGCGUCCCUGACACCCAGCCCUGCUAAAUAUCAGCGGUUCUCCACCCGCAAAACUUGGACAGAGACUUGAUCGAUCACGAGCAGUAACCAGACAAACAGGUGACAAGCGGACAAAGACCGUUG